GCCGCCGUAGCUCAGCCCGGGAGAGCGCCCGAGAGGUAGAUACCUCGGCGAAGCUGAAGACCGGGUUGUCGGGGGUUCAAAUCCCCCCGGCGGCA
This 95-nucleotide transfer RNA is filed under the name Fervidicoccus fontis Kam940. It matches the Rfam family "tRNA". From Rfam's summary of the family: Transfer RNA (tRNA) molecules are approximately 80 nucleotides in length. Their secondary structure includes four short double-helical elements and three loops (D, anti-codon, and T loops). The record is from Rfam by way of RNAcentral. Lineage: Archaea; Thermoproteati; Thermoproteota; Thermoprotei; Fervidicoccales; Fervidicoccaceae.